AUGAACGCUGGCGGCGUGCCUAAUACAUGCAAGUCGAGCGAACAGAUGAGGAGCUUGCUCCUCUGACGUUAGCGGCGGACGGGUGAGUAACACGUGGAUAACCUACCUAUAAGACUGGGAUAACUUCGGGAAACCGGAGCUAAUACCGGAUAAUAUAUUGAACCGCAUGGUUCAAUAGUGAAAGACGGUUUUGCUGUCACUUAUAGAUGGAUCCGCGCCGCAUUAGCUAGUUGGUAAGGUAACGGCUUACCAAGGCAACGAUGCGUAGCCGACCUGAGAGGGUGAUCGGCCACACUGGAACUGAGACACGGUCCAGACUCCUACGGGAGGCAGCAGUAGGGAAUCUUCCGCAAUGGGCGAAAGCUUGACGGAGCAACGCCGCGUGAGUGAUGAAGGUCUCCGGAUCGUAAAACUCUGUUAUUAGGGAAGAACAAAUGUGUAAGUAACUAUGCACGUCUUGACGGUACCUAAUCAGAAAGCCACGGCUAACUACGUG
This 496-nucleotide ribosomal RNA is filed under the name uncultured bacterium. RNAcentral's name for it is "partial 16S ribosomal RNA". It matches the Rfam family "Bacterial small subunit ribosomal RNA", at positions 29 to 507 of the family's 1533-position model. The record is from RNAcentral.